RNAcentral lists this ribosomal RNA (328 nucleotides) under uncultured eukaryote. Its description in RNAcentral is "partial 18S ribosomal RNA". It matches the Rfam family "Eukaryotic small subunit ribosomal RNA", at positions 1470 to 1796 of the family's 1831-position model. The record is from RNAcentral.
CCCUUAGAUGUUCUGGGCUGCACGCGCGUUACACUGAUGCAUUCAACGAGCUUAUAACCUUGGCCGAGAGGCCUGGGCAAUCUUGUUAACGUGCAUCGUGAUAGGGAUAGAUUAUUGAAAUUAUUAAUCUUGAACGAGGAAUUCCUAGUAAACGCAGAUCAUCAAUCUGCAUUGAUUACGUCCCUGCCCUUUGUGCACACCGCCCGUCGCACCUACCGAUUGGAUGGUCCGGUGAAGCCUCGGGAUUGUGGUUCUUGCCGCUUUAUUGUGGCGUGACCGCGAGAACUUGUCUAAACCUUAUCAUCUAGAGGAAGGUGAAGUCGUAACA